This 274-nucleotide ribosomal RNA is filed under the name uncultured bacterium. RNAcentral describes it as "partial 16S ribosomal RNA". It matches the Rfam family "Bacterial small subunit ribosomal RNA", at positions 523 to 796 of the family's 1533-position model. The record is from RNAcentral.
AUACGAAGGGGGCUAGCGUUGUUCGGAAUCACUGGGCGUAAAGCGCGCGUAGGUGGACUAAUCAGUUGAGGGUGAAAUCCCGGGGCUCAACCUCGGAACUGCCUUCAAUACUGUUAGUCUUGAGACCGAGAGAGGUGAGUGGAAUUCCUAGUGUAGAGGUGAAAUUCGUAGAUAUUAGGAAGAACACCAGUGGCGAAGGCGGCUCACUGGCUCGGUACUGACGCUGAGGUGCGAAAGCGUGGGGAGCAAACAGGAUUAGAAACCCUAGUAGUCC